CCUACGGGGGGCAGCAGUGAGGAAUAUUGGUCAAUGGGCGGGAGCCUGAACCAGCCAAGUCGCGUGAGGGAAGACGGUCCUAUGUAUUGUAAACCUCUUUAGGCAGGGAGCAAUGCCUGGCACGCGUGCCCGGAGGGAGAGUACCCGCAGAAUAAGCAUCGGCUAACUCCGUGCCACCAGCCGCGGUAAUACGGAGGAUGCGAGCGUUAUCCGGAUUUAUUGGGUUUAAAGGGUGCGUAGGCGGAUUUUUAAGUCAGCGGUAAAAGUUGCGGGCUCAACCCGGGCCGGCCGUUGAAACUGGGGAUCUUGAGUGGGCGAGAAGUAUGCGGAAUGCGUGGUGUAGCGGUGAAAUGCAUAGAUAUCACGCAGAACUCCGAUUGCGAAGGCAGCAUACCGGCGCCCGACUGACGCUGAGGCACGAAAGCGUGGGGAUCGAACAGGAUUAGAUACCCCGGUAGUC
This 460-nucleotide ribosomal RNA is filed under the name uncultured bacterium. RNAcentral's name for it is "partial 16S ribosomal RNA". It matches the Rfam family "Bacterial small subunit ribosomal RNA", at positions 338 to 795 of the family's 1533-position model. The record is from RNAcentral.